UACGUAGGGUGCAAGCGUUAAUCGGAAUUACUGGGCGUAAAGCGUGCGCAGGCGGUUUGGUAAGACAGAUGUGAAAUCCCCGGGCUCAACCUGGGAACUGCAUUUGUGACUGCCAGACUAGAGUCUGUCAGAGGGGGGUGGAAUUCCACGUGUAGCAGUGAAAUGCGUAGAGAUGUGGAGGAACACCGAUGGCGAAGGCAGCCCCCUGGGAUAAGACUGACGCUCAUGCACGAAAGCGUGGGGAGCAAACAGGAUUAGAUACCCUGGUAGUCCACGCCCUAAACGAUGUCGACUAGUUGUUGGGGAUUCAUUUCCUCGGUAACGCAGCUAACGCGUGAAGUCGACCGCCUGGGGAGUACGGUCGCAAGAUUAAAACUCAAAGGAAUUGACGGGGACCCGCACAAGCGGUGGAUGAUGUGGAUUAAUUCGAUGCAACGCGAAAAACCUUACCUACCCUUGACAUGCCAGGAAUCCUGCAGAGAUGUGGGAGUGCCCGAAAGGGAGCCUGGGCACAGGUGCUGCAUGGCUGUCGUCAGCUCGUGUCGUGAGAUGUUGGGUUAAGUCCCGCAACGAGCGCAACCCUUGUCACUAGUUGCUACGAAAGGGCACUCUAGUGAGACUGCCGGUGACAAACCGGAGGAAGGUGGGGAUGACGUCAAGUCCUCAUGGCCCUUAUGGGUAGGGCUUCACACGUCAUACAAUGGCCGGUACAGAGGGCUGCCAACCCGCGAGGGGGAGCUAAUCCCGGAAAGCCGGUCGUAGUCCGGAUUGCAGUCUGCAACUCGACUGCAUGAAGUCGGAAUCGCUAGUAAUCGCGGAUCAGCAUGUCGCGGUGAAUACGUUCCCGGGUCUUGUACACACCGCCCGUCACACCAUGGGAGUGGGGUUCACCAGAAGCCGUUUGCCUAACCGCAAGGAGGGCGGCGACCACGGUGAGCUUCAUGACUGGGGUG
This 953-nucleotide ribosomal RNA is filed under the name uncultured bacterium. RNAcentral describes it as "bacterial SSU rRNA". It matches the Rfam family "Bacterial small subunit ribosomal RNA", at positions 524 to 1482 of the family's 1533-position model. The record is from RNAcentral.